UUCGCAAUGCCCGAAAGGGUGACGAAGCGACGCCGCGUGGGUGAGGAAGGCCUUCGGGUUGUAAAGCCCUGUCAGGAGUUAAGAAAUGUAAGUGUGCUAAUAUCGCAUUUACUUGACGAAGGCUCCAAAGGAAGUCACGGCUAACUCUGUGCCAGCAGCCGCGGUAAUACAGAGGUGGCAAGCGUUGUUCGGAAUUAUUGGGCGUAAAGAGCACGUAGGUGGGUUUGUAAGUCAGAUGUGAAAGCCUCCUGUUCAACGGGAGAAUUGCAUCUGAAACUACUGAUCUUGAGUAUAGAAGGGGAGAAUGGAACUUCUGGUGGAGCGGUGAAAUGCGUAGAUAUCAGAAGGAACGCCGGCGGCGAAAGCGAUUCUCUGGCCUAUUACUGACACUCAGUGUGCGAAAGCUAGGGGAGCAAACGGGAUUAGAUACCCCGGUAGUCCUAGCCGUAAACGAUGGGCACUAAGUAGAGGGGUUUU
This 477-nucleotide ribosomal RNA is filed under the name Candidatus Scalindua brodae. RNAcentral's name for it is "bacterial SSU rRNA". It matches the Rfam family "Bacterial small subunit ribosomal RNA", at positions 365 to 832 of the family's 1533-position model. RNAcentral also lists the same sequence under 1 other name. The record is from RNAcentral. Lineage: Bacteria; Pseudomonadati; Planctomycetota; Candidatus Brocadiia; Candidatus Brocadiales; Candidatus Scalinduaceae.